AGUGGACGCUGGCGGUAGGCCUAACACAUGCAAGUCGAACGGCAGCACAGUAAGAGCUUGCUCUUACGGGUGGCGAGUGGCGGACGGGUGAGGAAUACAUCGGAAUCUACUUUUUCGUGGGGGAUAACGUAGGGAAACUUACGCUAAUACCGCAUACGACCUACGGGUGAAAGCAGGGGAUCUUCGGACCUUGCGCGAUUGAAUGAGCCGAUGUCGGACUAGCUAGUUGGCGGGGUAAAGGCCCACCAAGGCGACGAUCCGUAGCUGGUCUGAGAGGAUGAUCAGCCACACUGGAACUGAGACACGGUCCAGACUCCUACGGGAGGCAGCAGUGGGGAAUAUUGGACAAUGGGCGCAAGCCUGAUCCAGCCAUACCGCGUGGGUGAAGAAGGCCUUCGGGUUGUAAAGCCCUUUUGUUGGGAAAGAAAAGCAGCAGGUUAAUACCCCGCUGUUCUGACGGUACCCAAAGAAUAAGCACCGGCUAACUUCGU
RNAcentral lists this ribosomal RNA (491 nucleotides) under uncultured bacterium. Its description in RNAcentral is "partial 16S ribosomal RNA". It matches the Rfam family "Bacterial small subunit ribosomal RNA", at positions 29 to 506 of the family's 1533-position model. The record is from RNAcentral.